This 325-nucleotide ribosomal RNA is filed under the name uncultured soil bacterium. Its description in RNAcentral is "bacterial SSU rRNA". It matches the Rfam family "Bacterial small subunit ribosomal RNA", at positions 26 to 376 of the family's 1533-position model. The record is from RNAcentral.
AGAACGAACGCUGGCGGCAUGCCUAAUACAUGCAAGUCGAACGAACACUUCGGUGUUAGUGGCGCACGGGUGCGUAACGCGUGGGAAUCUGCCCUUGGGUUCGGAAUAACAGUUGGAAACGACUGCUAAUACCGGAUGAUAUCGAAAGAUCAAAGAUUUAUCGCCCAGGGAUGAGCCCGCGUAGGAUUAGCUAGUUGGUGAGGUAAAGGCUCACCAAGGCGACGAUCCUUAGCUGGUCUGAGAGGAUGAUCAGCCACACUGGGACUGAGACACGGCCCAGACCUCCCGACGGGAGGCAGCAGGUAGGGAAUAUUGGACAAGUGGG